This 979-nucleotide long non-coding RNA is filed under the name Salvia miltiorrhiza (redroot sage). RNAcentral's name for it is "long non-coding RNA (SMIL_LNC008371)". Lineage: Eukaryota; Viridiplantae; Streptophyta; Magnoliopsida; Lamiales; Lamiaceae. The record is from RNAcentral.
UCAAUUAUCUAAAUUCUGCGCUGCCCAUUUCACCAGAAGCUGCAGAGGCCCCGAAAAAAUUCCAGCAAAGAAAAGAAGGAACCUUUGUAGUUGUGGAAGAACUACUCCGCAUUUAGUGCUCACUGACGAGAGAGAGAGAGAGAGACGUCCUACUAACGUUUGGACGGACGUACGUACGUUACUUAACUAAAAGUUACGUACGACGNUUGGAACCUCCAUGAUCUUCUUCUCCUUCAUUCUCUCCGACCCGCCCGUUUGCCGCCACCGUCGGUUCCCAAGUCCCAACCGCUCAUCACCGUGUUUUCUCCGAUAAUCUUCUCUUUUCCUAACAGCUCUACACACCCCACUAAAUUCAACUUAAUUAUCUAAACUUUGCUGCCCAUUUCAGCAUAGGUUGCAGAUGCCGUGAAAAGUUACCAGCAAAGAAAAAAAUAGAACCUUCCUAGUUGUGGAAGAACUAGUUGCAAAGAACUACUCCGCAUUUAGUGCUCACUGACGAGACGAGAGAGAGAGAGAGGUCCUUCAACUUUGAGCGAUCGAUUCAAAUAGUCAGCAGAAAAACUUAAAAUAGCAUAUCACGCAUCAAAAUAGAUAAAAAAAAAAAUUUUAAUAAGAAUGGGAAUUGAGUAGUCAAUUCGAUUGAGUAAGAAAAAAACAGAAACAAUUAAUAAACAAGUAUACAAGGAACCAAUUGUGUCGUGGCUGUCUGCAACUCUGCAUUUAUUGCGCUGUGGGGGUAAUCUCGUCUUACUUCCUUUGUUCAAGAUUUUGCUACGAAUUUCUUUGACUUAGUAUAUAUGUAUAUGUAUCUGUAUACAUGUGUGUGUGUAAGAGAGAGAGAGAGAGAGUAGCAAAUGUGAAUUGCAGAAGGGAUUGCUGAUUGGGAGGCAGGUUCCUGGAAAAGGAAACUCAGUUGAAAAGAAACGAAUUUUCUUCUCUUAUUAGUUUCAUAAAGUGGAAAUUCUUUCUAAUUUAAUAG